This 253-nucleotide unclassified non-coding RNA is filed under the name uncultured Parcubacteria group bacterium. RNAcentral describes it as "contains 16S-23S intergenic spacer region". It matches the Rfam family "Bacterial small subunit ribosomal RNA", at positions 524 to 776 of the family's 1533-position model. The record is from RNAcentral.
UACGUGAGCCUCGAGCGUUACCCGGAUUCACUGGGCGUAAAGGGUGUGUAGGUGGCGUAGUUAGUCGCAUGUUAAAGCCCGGGGCUCAACCCCGGAAUCGCAUGCGAAACGGCUACGCUAGAGGGUGGCAGGGGUGCAUGGAACUCAUGGUGUAGGGGUGGAAUCCGUUGAUAUCAUGGGGAACACCAAAAGCGAAGGCAGUGCACUGGGCCAUUUCUGACACUGAGACACGAAAGCGUGGGUAGCGAAUGGG